AUUGAACGCUGGCGGCAUGCCUUACACAUGCAAGUCGAACGGUAACAGGUCUUCGGAUGCUGACGAGUGGCGAACGGGUGAGUAAUACAUCGGAACGUGCCCGAUCGUGGGGGAUAACGGAGCGAAAGCUUUGCUAAUACCGCAUACGAUCUACGGAUGAAUGCAGGGGACCGCAAGGCCUUGCGCGGACGGAGCGGCCGAUGGCAGAUUAGGUAGUUGGUGGGAUAAAAGCUUACCAAGCCGACGAUCGGUAGCUGGUCUGAGAGGGCGACCAGCCACACUGGGACUGAGACACGGCCCAGACUCCUACGGGAGGCAGCAGUGGGGAAUUUUGGACAAUGGGCGAAAGCCUGAUCCAACCAUGCCGCGUGCAGGAUGAAGGCCUUCGGGUUGUAAACUGCUUUUGUACGGAACGAAAAGGCUCUUUCUAAUAAAGAGGGUUCAUGACGGUACCGUAAGAAUAAGCACCGGCUAACUACGUGCCAGCAGCCGCCGUAA
Molecule: ribosomal RNA, 498 nt
Filed under: uncultured bacterium
Lineage: Bacteria
Description: partial 16S ribosomal RNA
Rfam family: Bacterial small subunit ribosomal RNA
Source: RNAcentral